AGGAGGAACAGCCCCAGGGGCGGGGCCAGCUCUGGAAACGUGGAUUCAGCUCCGGCAGGAACUCCGUCUGCAGGGCCUGGAGGCUCUGGGGCGGG
RNAcentral lists this microRNA precursor (95 nucleotides) under Canis lupus familiaris (dog). RNAcentral's name for it is "mir-8834 microRNA precursor family". It matches the Rfam family "mir-8834 microRNA precursor family". Lineage: Eukaryota; Metazoa; Chordata; Mammalia; Carnivora; Canidae. The record is from Rfam by way of RNAcentral.